ACGCUUGAAGUCAGUCGCGUCGACCGAGACUCAGCCUUGCCUUGGCUUGGUGUACUUCUCGGCUGACGGGUCAGCAUCAAUUUUGCCCCUUGGAUAAUGGUGAGGGAAAUGUGACACCUUUUAUGGUGUGUUAUAGUCUCUCGUCGCAUGCAAGGGUUGGGAUUGAGGAACUCAGCACGCACCUUUGGGUGUCGGGGCUCUGCUCACGAUACGUGCUUAGGAUGUUGGCGUAAUGGCUUUAAACGACCCGUCUUGAAACACGGACCAAGGAGUC
Molecule: ribosomal RNA, 274 nt
Filed under: uncultured Russula
Lineage: Eukaryota; Fungi; Basidiomycota; Agaricomycetes; Russulales; Russulaceae
Description: partial large subunit ribosomal RNA
Source: RNAcentral